AACCAGCACCUCAAGUGGUCAGGAUGAUUAUUGGGCCUAAAGCAUCCGUAGCCGGCUCUGUAAGUUUUCGGUUAAAUCUGUACGCUUAACGUACAGGCUGCCGGGAAUACUGCAGAGCUAGGUAGUGGGAGAGGUAGACGGUACUCGAUAGGAAGGGGUAAAAUCCUUUGAUCUAUUGAUGACCACCUGUGGCGAAGGCGGUCUACCAGAACACGUACGACGGUGAGGGAUGAAAGCUGGGGGAGCAAACCGGAUUAGAUACCCGGGUAGUCCCAGCUGUAAACUAUGCAAACUCAGUGAUGCAUUGGCUUGUGGCCAAUGCAGUGCUGCAGGGAAGCCGUUAAGUUUGCCGCCUGGGAAGUACGUACGCAAGUAUGAAACUUAAAGGAAUUGGCGGGGGAGCACCACAAGGGGUGAAGCCUGCGGUUCAAUUGGAGUCAACGCCAGAAAUCUUACCCGGAGAGACAGCAGAAUGAAGGUCAAGCUGAAGACUUUACCAGACAAGCUGAGAGGUGGUGCAUGGCCGUCGCCAGCUCGUGCCGUGAGAUGUCCUGUUAAGUCAGGUAACGAGCGAGAUCCCUGCCUCUAGUUGCCACCAUUACUCCCAGGAGUAGUGGGGCGAAUUAGCGGGACCGCCGCAGUUAAUGCGGAGGAAGGAAGGGGCCACGGCAGGUCAGUAUGCCCCGAAACUCUGGGGCCACACGCGGGCUGCAAUGGUAACGACAAUGGGUUUCGAAUUCGAAAGGAUGAGGUAAUCCUCAAACGUUACCACAGUUAUGACUGAGGGCUGCAACUCGCCCUCACGAAUAUGGAAUCCCUAGUAACUGCGUGUCACUAUCGCGCGGUGAAUACGUCCCUGCUCCU
Molecule: ribosomal RNA, 864 nt
Filed under: uncultured archaeon
Lineage: Archaea
Description: SSU rRNA
Rfam family: Archaeal small subunit ribosomal RNA
Source: RNAcentral